This 445-nucleotide ribosomal RNA is filed under the name uncultured bacterium. RNAcentral describes it as "partial 16S ribosomal RNA". It matches the Rfam family "Bacterial small subunit ribosomal RNA", at positions 354 to 796 of the family's 1533-position model. The record is from RNAcentral.
GUAAGGAAUAUUGGACAAUGGGCGCAAGCCUGAUCCAGCCAUGCCGCGUGCAGGAAGACGCAUCUAUGGUGUGUAAACUGCUUUUGUACGGGAAGAAACACUCCCUCGUGAGGGAGCUUGACGGUACCGUAAGAAUAAGGAUCGGCUAACUCCGUGCCAGCCGCCGCGGGAAUACGGAGGAUCCAAGCGUUAUCCGGAAUCAUUGGGUUUAAAGGGUCCGUAGGCGGUUUAAUGAGUCAGUGGUGAAAGCCCAUCGCUCAACGAUGGAACGGCCAUUGAUACUGUUAGACUUGAAUUACAAGGAAGUAACUAGAAUAUGUAGUGUAGCGGUGAAAUGCUUAGAUAUUACAUGGAAUACCAAUUGCGAAGGCAGGUUACUACUUGUGGAUUGACGCUGAUGGACGAAAGCGUGGGGAGCGAACAGGAUUAGAAACCCCUGUAGUCC